AGUUCAGAUUGUAGGCUGAAACUCGCCUAUAUGAAGUCGGAAUUGCUAGUAAUCGCGGAUCAGCAUGCCGCGGUGAAUACGUUCCCGGGCCUUGUACACACCGCCCGUCACACCAUGAGAGUCGAUAACACCCGAAGCCUGUAGUCUAACCGCAAGGAGGACGCAGUCGAAGGUGGGAUUGAUAAUUAGGGUGAAGUCGUAACAAGGUACC
This 211-nucleotide ribosomal RNA is filed under the name uncultured bacterium. Its description in RNAcentral is "partial 16S ribosomal RNA". It matches the Rfam family "Bacterial small subunit ribosomal RNA", at positions 1290 to 1500 of the family's 1533-position model. The record is from RNAcentral.